Long non-coding RNA from Homo sapiens (human), 224 nucleotides. RefSeq annotates it as RERG intronic transcript 1. Lineage: Eukaryota; Metazoa; Chordata; Mammalia; Primates; Hominidae. The record is from RefSeq and is marked validated. The transcript is spliced from 2 exons.
AUUGUCGGUGUAGAGAAGCUGCCUGUAACCUAGUCAGGCAUUAUAUUACCUAGCUUUAUAACUUUAUAAUUUUUGCCAAUCUUAUGGUCAUAAAAUCAUCUUAUAAGCUUCUCUCUGCUUGGUGACCACUCUGCUGUUGAUCCACCAACCUCCAGCUGGUACUGAGCAUCUGCCAUUUUUCUGCUUUGAAGAGGCAGCAUAAGCAAGAGGACUCCAUAUAGUUC